This 253-nucleotide ribosomal RNA is filed under the name uncultured bacterium. Its description in RNAcentral is "partial 16S ribosomal RNA". It matches the Rfam family "Bacterial small subunit ribosomal RNA", at positions 524 to 776 of the family's 1533-position model. The record is from RNAcentral.
UACGGGGGGGGCAAGCGUUGUUCGGAAUUACUGGGCGUCAAGGGCUCGUAGGCGGCCAACUAAGUCGGACGUGAAAUCCCUCGGCUUAACCGGGGAACUGCGUCCGAUACUGGAUGGCUUGAGUUUGGGAGAGGGAUGCGGAAUUCCAGGUGUAGCGGUGAAAUGCGUAGAUAUCUGGAGGAACACCGGUGGCGAAGGCGGCAUCCUGGACCAACACUGACGCUGAGGAGCGAAAGCCAGGGGAGCACACGGG